UUAAGACUAAAUGAUGAAGAGCUCAUAGAAAUGAGAGCUAGGAGACAACCAGCAGUAUCAGCAUACCAAGAGUCUUAGAGUACAUGCAUAGAUUUCCAAAUGAAGCCCCUCUACUAAAGGUUACAAGUUCUCAGGCAGGCGCUUUUUCUGUGAAGAGCUCUGCUAGCUUACAUGAGGCUUCAGAUGGACACAAGUAUCCAAAACCAAGAUGCGCUACAAAUCCAGUAACAGCAGAAUUGCCUUUAAAUCUACAGAAUUCAAGAACAAUCAGGACUGAAGUAGGAACACAAUAAAGACAAGGGCCACUAAGAGCUGUUAACAGUGUCUUGAGAGUUGUAUAAGAGAAAAAUUCCAUGUUGUUUGUGUAUGCAAAGAAUAAGAACCAUUCAAAAAAAUACAGCAUUCUGCUAUAACUGCUUUAAGAUUCUGACCAGAGGCUAUUGGUUUCAAGAUCAAAUGUAACGUCUGAAGCUACAUAUAAGUUGCUAAGGCAGUUUGGCUGAUGCAUAUAGCAAAUCCCAUCCCCAAUCCUCGUGCUCAUUCCUAGUUUUCCAUUAGUUUGAAAAAGGUGGUCAACCUAAUCAUACCUACAGUAUGAUCUCUUUCAAUUAAAAUACCUGAGCAUACUUCAACUUGCCAUUGAUCAUUCCUGUACCAACAAGUUUCCAAAACAAAUGGGAAACAAUAGGCACUCUCAAAUAACACGGGCAUUUAAUUAGUUUUCUAAUCAGAACUGUUCUGUUGAAGCCUAAAAAUUGGAGAGGGCAAAGAGAGGGAGGGCAAAUCUCAUUGCUUCCAUUUGCCUUAGAAGAGUUGUGGUCUACAUCCUUUGUCCAGUGUAGUACUUAUCAUGAAGCUAAACAAAACACACUUGGUUCACAGAAUUGUGGAUUUAGCUGUAUAAUUGCUUGCUGGCAAUUUCUAGCAAUUUGUAACUGUUGUUGCCAGCAAGUGCUAACAAGCACCAGGAUUCAGAUUCCAACUAAGCCUGUCAGCACUUCAGUUUUUGGCAAACACUCCACAGAUAAUAUUUUAACACUCUACUGCAUCUGGCUGGGAUGGAGUUAACUUUCCCUGCAGCAGCCCAUACAGGGCUGUGCUGUGCACUGGUAGCCAGAGCAGCGCUGCUGUCCCAGCAGUGCUUGGGCCAUUGCUGAGCAGCUCUGGCACAGCACCAAGGUCGGCUCUCCAAACCCCCACAGCACGUAGGCUGGCACUGGGCAAGCGGUGGGGAGGGGACCUCAUCAGGAAAGCUGACCUAAACCUACCAGAGGGAGAUUCCACACCAAAUGU
RNAcentral lists this long non-coding RNA (1293 nucleotides) under Anser cygnoides (Swan goose). RNAcentral describes it as "lncRNA (ENSACDG00005007998.1)". Lineage: Eukaryota; Metazoa; Chordata; Aves; Anseriformes; Anatidae. The record is from RNAcentral.